AUCCCUACUUCCAUAACAAACUUGAAAAAUCUAUCCUUUCUCCACUUGUGGGGUAAUAAACUCUCCGGUUUCAUACCUUCAGAAAUUGGAUUCUUAAAAUUUUUAAAACAACUUGAGCUGUCGAUUAACGGUUUAACCGGUGUAAUCCCUUCUUCUAUUGGACACUUGAGAAAUUUAUCGAUUCUUUACCUUGAUGACAAUAAACUUUCUGGUUCCAUACCUUUAGAAAUCGGGUUCUUAAAAUCUCUUAAAAAACUUGCCUUGUCGAGUAAUGCUCUGUCUGGACCAAUUCCUCCUUCCAUUGGAAACUUGAGAGAGUUAUCAUUUCUUAACCUUUGGGACAAUAGACUCUCAGGAUCAAUCCCCCAUGAAAUUGGGAUGCUUAGUUCUCUUUCUCAACUCUAUUUGGGGGGAAAUAAUCUCACCGGUUCAAUCCCUACAUCAAUAGGAGAACUUAAAUCCCUUCACAUGUUGGGAUUGCAAUUCAACCAACUCAACGGUUCCCUGCCUUUGGAAUUCAAUAAUCUUUCUCAUUUGAAGUCAUUGCAAUUGUCUGGGAAUGGAUUCACUGGUUGUUUGCCAGAAAAUGUAUGCCUUG
Molecule: unclassified non-coding RNA, 598 nt
Filed under: Hevea brasiliensis (rubber tree)
Lineage: Eukaryota; Viridiplantae; Streptophyta; Magnoliopsida; Malpighiales; Euphorbiaceae
Source: RNAcentral